Non-coding RNA from Poecilia reticulata (guppy), 2697 nucleotides. The record is from RefSeq and is a predicted model, not a curated record. Lineage: Eukaryota; Metazoa; Chordata; Actinopteri; Cyprinodontiformes; Poeciliidae.
AAAAAAUUACAAACCCGUGCUGAUUUUGUUUUUCCUCAGAAGAUUUCAAAAAAAUGGAAACAAAACAGAAAAAAGAGCUUCUAAGAGGUUUUCAUUUACACAGUGGAGAAGAAGAAGAAAUGGAAAAUAAAAACUCUGGACGGAUACAGUUGAACACACUGCCUCUAACAAUCCUGGUCGUAGUGACUCAGAAUUAAAAAGAAAGGACUUAUUUUCUAUUCCAUACUGGAGCUUUGGUUGUUUACAAGCCACAUGGAUAACUGUGGGUGCAGUUUUGUUUAAUUUUUUAAAGUUUUUUGUUGUCUUAGUUUUUGUUCCCACAUGAGACGGGUGGGGUUUGCAAGUGCGCUUCUGCCAUAUGGACAAUGAGUGGUGUUGGGGGUUUUUUUCUUUGUUUUUUUUUUUAUAUAUUUUUUUUUUUUUUUUUGCUUGAGGACGAGUGGCAGGAAUCUGAACAGCAUGGACAAACUCCUCUAAGUCGGCCUUGUUUAUAUAUACAUACAUAUAUAAAAAAAGAAACCUCGAGGAUGGACUUUGUUUUCUGGAUUGCAGGGCUGAAAGAGCCUUGAGGGAACUGAGAGGCCAAAAAAUGAGUAAAAGAGGAGGACGCCUGAUUUGUGCGCUCGUCUUCACCUCAACCCUCCCACGCACUCGCACCCUGCCCUCACCGACUCACCUAUGCACUUUUGUUCAUUCAAGCUGUGAGGUACAAUUCUGGGGAUGGGAGCACAAUUUACAACAGGAGGAUUGCUACGACUUUUGAUUUAAGAAAAAGAAAAGAAAAAAAAAGUCAGCGAAAACGAUAUUCCCAAAACUAAAAACGAGAGACUUCGAGAAGCCCCGUCUUCUCCCACCUCCUGUAUAUAAGCAUAUUUUUGUAUUACCUUUCAAAGUAGAACGAGAGAGAGAGAAAAAAAAUUGCAAAUGGAUGAAGGAAAAAAAAAUUCAUGAGACGUUGGACUGAAUGUUCCUCAUGGAAAAGAAACCAAUAGUUUUCAAUAGUUUUAAUUGGACUCGCUGCGAGUUUCCCUUUAUAUGCCACUAACCUUGAAAUAAUUGGGGGAUGGAAGGGAAACGAGCGCGGACUGAGGCGUUGGAUAUGCCUCCUGGUGGCAGCUUGUCAAAGCGGAGAUUGGAGCGGCCACAAGAGUUUGAUCAACUCUCACAGUCGAGAGCCGGACGCCGUUCUGAAGAGCCGUCGCCAAGGACGCUUCCACUUGGUUUCCCCAACCUGACGACUGCCUUCAGAGCGGUGGAGCUCCUGCAGGAGGAGAGCUGCGUGGUGAUUGGCUUUGCUUUAUUUGCUGCCCUCUGUGACGAGGAUUUAAUCUGCGGCCGACCCAUGAAUCAGCUCGCCUAAACCUGCUCCUUCGAACUUUUACCCCAAGACACUUGUCUCGUCCUUGGACUGGGCAGGCCAUCGGCAUUAUCAGUCGGACAGUUCAUCACCCAUCGCGUUUGGCUCGGGGGUUUGAUCAGACGCUCUCAGACAAGGAUAAGGGCAAAAAAAAAAAAAAAAAAAGGGGAGGAGUGACGAUGGUCUCAACCCACCUCAACCUGAGACCUUGGAGAAAUGGUUCGUUGAAUAACCGGCCCCAUCCUGUCUUAAGAGGUCUCGGACAAGAAAACGCAGAAAGAUGGCGGCUGUUUGAAAUCCCUGCUGCCGUGGAACUGGAUAGACUUGUACAAAACAACAGCAACAAAAAAAGACUCUAAAACACGACUAAACACACAAACACGUCGCAGAAAAUUCUCAAGUCCAAAGGAGCGGCAAACAUAUACACUACAUGCACAUUUCCAGCGGAAGUUACACAUAAUAGGGAUCCAUAAAUAUCAACUCUCAGAGACACAAACACAUCAGCGCUCAUCAAUUCAAAUGGUGUGCUUUGUAAAUAAUGUAAAAGUUGGUUUGAAUGACUUUUUUUUUUUUUUGUUUGUUUCUCAUAGUGGGGUUUUGCUUUAUUUCUUUGUUCAACAUGCCUUAAAUUGUAUAGCUGAGUCUUGGAUGACUAACUGAAAAUGUUCUCGAUGAUAAAACUUAGUUGGAAACCAUCUUGUUAACUGUAUUCAGGUUGAACAAAGUUUUCAACAGCGCUUUUUGUUCUGUUGGCUAACAGAAUUGUUGUGUAUAGACCUCCUUACGUAUACAUCCAAUCACCUUUAAAAGUUACUAGCUAACUACAGAGUAGAGCGACGAGUCUUUAAUAUUCUAUUUUUUUUUCUUUUCUAAAUUUGCUGGUGGUUGGAUUUUUGUUGCUCUUUUGUUUUCAUGAAAACGCAGAGUGAAUUUGUUCGGAGUUGAUUCGUUUUGUUAUUUUCUAAAGGUCUGUACUCUGGGGAGCUGAGCUGACCGGGUUGCGUUUCAAUAACCGACCCCUCGCCGUGCUGCGUCAGAAUGCAGUUUGGGUAAAUUUAGUCAUCCUUAAAUUUCAGAUACGAGUUAGUGCAUUUGGACUCUUUUUACACUCCAGGAGAAUUGUACGAUUUUUAGAAGAAAAAAAAAAAAAUAUAUAUAUAUAUAUAUACUGUUGUGCAGAUGUGAGAGAAUCUCGGGCUUAUUUACUCUUAAAGGAAGCUUUAUAAUUGGACAUCCGUUGAUCAAGGUUUUCAUGACCAAUUCUGAUACCUGUGUUUUUAAGAUCUGGAAUCCUGAUUCUGUCAUCUUCUAUUUUUUGUUUAAUAAGUUUUAUAGUAAAG